GGUGGCAGCGGCCGCGGAGGUGGCGCCGGGGACUGUUUUCUCUCGGAGGCCGGAGUGGAGCCGCGUCUGACUGGGGCGGGCGUCCAGCGGCCCCCUCGCUCCCGUCCUCCCUCCCUCCUCCGCACCCUCGCCGCCGCCGCCGCCAGCCACCAACUGCCAGCCGCCGCCCCCGGGAGGAGCCGCGGCCCACGGGGCUGGAGCCAGGCCUGCGUCCGGUCAUCAGUGGGAGUCGGAGCGAGAGCCGGGGCCUCGGCGUCCCCGCCCUCUCCCCGCCUCAGGGCCAGCGUCCGUCGGGCCCCCGCGCGUCGCGCCAUGGACUCAGACGAGGGCUACAACUACGAGUUCGACGAGGACGAGGAGUGCAGCGAGGAGGACAGCGGCGCCGAGGAAGAGGAGGACGAGGACGAGGACGAGCCGGACGAUGAUAACCUGGAUCUGGGCGAGGUGGAGCUCGUGGAGCCCGGGCUGGGCGUCGGCGGGGAGCGGGACGGACUGCUGUGCGGGGAGACGGGCGGCGGCGGCGGCAGCGCUCUGGGGCCCGGAGGCGGCGGCGGCGGCGGCGGCGGCGGCGGCGGCGGCGGGCCGGGGCACGAGCAGGAGGAGGAUUACCGCUACGAGGUGCUCACGGCCGAGCAGAUCCUGCAACACAUGGUGGAAUGUAUCCGGGAGGUCAACGAGGUCAUCCAGAAUCCAGCAACUAUUACAAGAAUACUCCUUAGCCACUUCAAUUGGGAUAAAGAGAAACUAAUGGAAAGGUACUUUGAUGGAAACCUGGAGAAGCUCUUUGCUGAAUGUCAUGUAAUUAAUCCAAGUAAAAAGUCUCGAACACGCCAGAUGAAUACAAGGUCAUCAGCACAGGAUAUGCCUUGUCAGAUCUGCUACUUGAACUACCCUAACUCGUAUUUCACUGGCCUUGAAUGUGGACAUAAGUUUUGUAUGCAGUGCUGGAGUGAAUAUUUAACUACCAAAAUAAUGGAGGAAGGCAUGGGACAGACUAUUUCGUGUCCUGCUCAUGGUUGUGAUAUCUUAGUGGAUGACAACACAGUUAUGCGCUUGAUCACAGAUUCAAAAGUUAAAUUAAAGUAUCAGCAUUUAAUAACAAAUAGUUUUGUAGAGUGCAAUCGACUGUUAAAGUGGUGUCCUGCCCCAGAUUGCCACCAUGUUGUUAAAGUCCAAUAUCCUGAUGCUAAACCUGUUCGCUGCAAAUGUGGGCGCCAGUUUUGCUUUAAUUGUGGAGAAAAUUGGCAUGAUCCUGUCAAAUGUAAGUGGUUGAAGAAGUGGAUUAAAAAGUGUGAUGAUGACAGUGAAACCUCUAAUUGGAUUGCAGCCAAUACAAAGGAGUGUCCCAAAUGCCAUGUCACAAUUGAGAAGGAUGGCGGUUGUAAUCACAUGGUCUGUCGUAACCAGAACUGUAAAGCAGAGUUUUGCUGGGUGUGUCUUGGCCCAUGGGAACCACAUGGAUCUGCCUGGUACAACUGUAACCGCUAUAAUGAGGAUGAUGCAAAGGCAGCAAGAGAUGCACAGGAGCGAUCUAGGGCAGCCCUGCAGAGGUACCUGUUCUACUGUAAUCGCUAUAUGAACCACAUGCAGAGUCUACGCUUUGAGCACAAACUAUAUGCUCAGGUAAAGCAGAAGAUGGAGGAGAUGCAACAGCACAACAUGUCGUGGAUUGAGGUGCAGUUCCUGAAGAAAGCAGUUGAUGUCCUCUGCCAGUGUCGUGCCACACUCAUGUACACUUAUGUCUUCGCUUUCUACCUCAAAAAGAAUAACCAGUCCAUUAUCUUUGAGAAUAACCAAGCAGAUCUAGAGAAUGCCACAGAGGUGCUUUCGGGCUACCUUGAACGAGACAUUUCCCAAGAUUCUCUGCAAGAUAUAAAGCAGAAAGUACAAGAUAAGUACAGCUUUAUCUACUUAGUUGCCCUGCCAGGAAGAAAGAACGUAAAAAAAGGCAAGUGACCAUUAGUAUGAGGGGCGAAAUUAGGAUGCUGGUCCUCACCUUGGGAUCUUUGUGGAGCAUGGCUAUUGACAAAUACUGUGAGAGUCGACGAAGGGUUUUGUUACAGCAUGUGCAUGAAGGCUAUGAAAAAGAUCUGUGGGAAUACAUUGAGGACUGAGAAGGGCCCUGCAUAAAAUGAACUCUGAAAACUUUACCAUCUAGAGUGCUCCUGCAAUUAAACAAAACAAAACAAACACAAGCAAGGAGGCACUAAGCCUCUUCUGACACCUCUGGUCUGUAGUACCAGAAUUCUGUUUUGUUAAAGGAAAGUUUAAGUAAAUUAUAUUGUAAUAAAAAAGGUAGAUAAACCAUUGUACAACAGUAUUCUAGGCCACCAACAGAAGUGUGUGACAGACACACUAAAAGCCCUCCAACUUAACUUGUAACGUAGCUUCAUUCUCAAAGCUGACUCCUUUUAUUCUUUUUCUUUCUCCUGAGUGUAGUACAGUUAAAAUUUAAAACAGCUCUUUGACACUGCUUUUCAUGUCCAAACCAGCCAUUUUGUUGUACUUUGGUAAAUGCCCUCUUCCCUUUCUUCCUCUACGCUUACAAAUUCACCCAACACACACAGACUGACUCUUUCUCUCAUACCCCAAGGUCAUGAGUGAAUGAUGAUUAGUUCCUUGUAAAGAAAAUUCUUGGGAUGGGGAAGGGGGUAGGCAGCAAGAGGAAUUAAAAACAAAAAACAAAAAAAACUUUAUAUAUGACUUUUAAAACAAGAGGACAACACAGUAUUUUUCAAAAUUGUAUAUAGCGCAUAUGCAUGGACAAAGCAAGCGUGGCACGUGUUUGCAUAAUGUUUAAUUACAAAAAAAUAUUUAUUCUUUAAAAAUCUUCAAGAUUAUGUCUAUUUGCUGUGCAUUUUCUUUCAGUUUGCUUUAUCUUUCCAGAGUUGAAGGUUAGGAUAAAAGGCGUGUGUUGAUGCAGCGCCUCUGGAAGACCUAACUAGAGCUCCUUGAUCUCCCUUUCCCGACAUUACUUUGCCCUUUCUGGUUUUGAUAUGUCUGUUGCUGGCCAUGGGCCUCUUGCCUUCAAUUCCCAGCUCUUGAUCAGGGACAGGGAGGUCAAGCUCUGACUCAAAUGCCAUGGCCUGAUUAGAGCUGCAACAGGGAUUCUUUUGCUGCAGUUCAAGAAUGACCCUGUCCCUAGCCUCAUCCCCCUCUGUGGCCUCAUGUGUUUGCCUAAGCCUCUGUGUGCCCAUCCAUGCUCACAGCCGAAGGCUUCCUAGGCUCCCUGUCAUACCCGGAGGAAACAUUUCAAAUUUUUUUCCCCUUAAUUGCUGCUUUGAGCCUUUUAAGAUUUUAGUUAUGGCUCUUCUCUCACCCCUUAUGUUAGGGUGUCAAAUAGAAUGUUUUUGCUUUAAAUAUAAAUAUAAAUAAAUAGCCAUUCACUUAGUUUUGGAUUGUAAAUGUAAAAUGGCAGAUACUGAAGUUGCGUGUGUGUGUGUUGCUGUGGGUUCAGUUUGAAGGCAAACACCCCCAGAAAUGAUAUUCCCAUCUAGUGCAUUCAGAUAGAAAUCACUGAGCUUCUUUUCUAUUGUCAGCAGAUAGAAUUAAUAAGCAUUUUUAGAUGUGAUGCCCAUUUUUAUGAAUUUCUACUAAGAGCUAUGUUAAAAGUAAAGGAUGGUGGUGGUUUUAUUAACUAUGUACCUGUUUAGGCCAUUCUGGCUGUGGUAUUUUUCAACAGGUCAGCAUCCCUAAAUCUGUCAGUUUUAUACAGGAGUGCAGAGUGAACUAGGCAACUAGAUUAAGAGGUCUUAAUAUUAAAUACCAGUUUGGGGACCUCUUUGUCUUCCUUUAACUGUCUUGUGCCUAGGGAGUGUUUACCAUUUGUGAGGCAGCUUUGUCUGCUCUUGCACUGUACAUCUUAUUACUCCAUUGGGAAGUAGGUUCACUUUCCUCUGGCCUUUUGCCUAAGUUAGGCUUUGCUGAAUCACCCCUACUUUUCCUUUUAGAAAAGGUUGUUACAUGAGAUGUACUUGCAACAGUUCUUUCCCAUCAAAAAUCAGUGAAUGUUUGCUGAAUAUAUUAAUGCUGCUUCCUUAAACCACUUGUCGCUUUAGGAUCAACUUUACCUGCACCUUUUAUCUGCCCCGUUCCCCCACCCCCCGCACCUCAGGUGCAAGCAUCUGCUUCUUUUUCCGUCUCAUCUCCUCCCCUAUCCCACAUCAUCCAUGUGACUUUGUUUUAAAUGACUGCAUCAAUCUUAAAAGACAUCUAUCAAAACUAAGGAGAUUUUUUUUUAAUAGGAAGCUUGAAUAAGUUCCUUUCCCUGGUAACUUUGAAAAGCAGCCAGAGUUGCUAUCUAGAUAUAUGUGGCUCCCUUAAAAUGUUUUGUGUAUGUGUGGUGUUUUAAAAAAAUCUUACCAGUUAACUGCAGUAUCUAGGUUUCAGUGUCAUAAAUCCCCUUGCAACAUGCAUCCAAAAACUGUGUGCACUUCAUAACCAGCCCCCACCCAUGGAGGUACAGUGCUUUUUAGAAAUGCUUUCUAGUUUCAGUGUUGGCAUAUUACCUGAGGGUGUUGCAUUUGUGGGUGUGUUCCCUAAUUUGUAUGGAUCAAGGCAAACUGGUCUUUUCUACUUCCAAGCUUUUAACAGCUGUCUCUGUAUUUGACAGAAUUCCCUGAGUUAAGUGCUUUCAUUGUUAAUAGCUUCAGUGACCCCCCAGCUGGGAUAGGCAAGCCAUAUUGUAUGACAGCUUCCCUAUUUCACCUACGUAAGUCUUUCUGUCAGAGGGCUCUAUUCAUGGUAAGCACCAGGGUCUCCCUGUCUUAGGACGGAAUUAUGUUGUCUUUUGAAAAGUGCAUGCUUCAUUUGGACAAUUCAUUGAGCAGUAAGUAGAUGGACUAUAAAUGACUUAGAAUAAAUUUUGAUCCAGAGCUCAGAAUACAAACCACAGUGGUAAAAUUGAGUAGCAUAUAAUUAAUCAUGACUAAAUUCUGUAUAAUUUGCUGCGACCCAGAUUGUAUGUGUUUUAUGUGUGUUUAAAUAAAUAUAUUAAAUACACAUGUGUAUACAUACACACAUAUAUAACAGAUCCAAGACUGACUGACUUGAUUUGAAAUGGUUGAAUCUGCAGUGUAAAAUGUAGUUCAGCCACGAUUAAUUGAAAUUUAGUACAAGAGAGAAAAGAACUUGAUGUAACAUGCUGUUAGCUACAAAUCCCAGCCAGUAUAGAGCACUUGGGGGAUGGGAGGGGGUGGGUUGGUGAGACAAUCAGAUCGGUAAAUUGAUUAAAUGCUCCUAACCCUGUAAUUUUGUGCAUAGAGCACCCUGUGCUGUGGAAAUAACUGUUCUUAGAUUUUCAUUGUAACUGGACUGUUCAGGUUGCCCAGAGGGAAAGAACAUUCCUAAUUCUAAUAAAAUAAACUUUUAUUUUGUUAUUCCA
Molecule: RNA transcript, 5383 nt
Organism: Manis pentadactyla (Chinese pangolin)
Lineage: Eukaryota; Metazoa; Chordata; Mammalia; Pholidota; Manidae
Gene: ARIH1
Gene name: ariadne RBR E3 ubiquitin protein ligase 1
Exons: 15
Source: RefSeq, a predicted model, not a curated record